Molecule: non-coding RNA, 30 nt
Filed under: Rattus norvegicus (Norway rat)
Lineage: Eukaryota; Metazoa; Chordata; Mammalia; Rodentia; Muridae
Source: RNAcentral
UGCUGAUGGAUGCUCACUAUUAAACACUGA